CUUUAAUAAAAGUUCUUAUCAACUACACUGAGUUUAAAGUCUAUCUGGCAAUUUGAUUGCUAAUCAUUUUGUGGUUUGUUUUUUUCUUUAAUAAAAGUUCUUAUCAACUACACUGAGUUGAUAGUCUAUCUGGUCAUUUGAUUGCUAAUCAUUUUGCAUGAGUAGUAAUAAUAGUAGUCGUAAAUUACAGAUAACAUAAAUAGUAUGGAAAUAAAUAAACUCUAAAUUUUGUUAAAUUUUGCAAGUAAUAAACUUUAAGUAACAGACGAUUCAUCAAAUUUAUAUUUAUGAUGAGGUUAAAUUCUAAAUAUAUAAUGUAACAAAUGUUCUUGAAACGACUUUUUAGGUCCCAUGUGUAACUCAAUUCGUGUUUUGCCGGGAUAUCAGAGAUUCUUUCAUUUCAAAAUAUCAUGUACGGACUUAUAAACUAUAUAAUUAACAUUGUGUAACCCGUGUAGCACACGGGUACUUAACUAUAUAUAAUUAGCAUGGGCUGAACUUGAAGUGAUAACACGUAGGUAUAUUUUUGUCGUAGUGGGCCUUCGGGCGGCCUUUUGAUACUGGGCUUUGGCUACUCAUUUAUUUAUAAUUUUUUUAUUUCAGUAUCAUUUUUAUACGUUGAUAUUGAAAAGUUUUUUCAUUACAAAGUUCAUCUCAAUGCCAGUAGAUAUUAUAUGUUUGUGUUAAGCCACCCGCGAAACUCGCGGGUUCUUAGACUAGUAAAAUAUAAAAGCAAAUGCGACCAAGUUUAGAAUAUUAGAAAAUCGGUUUUAUACUGACAUUGAAAUCAAAUGGUUGUAAAUUGCUUAUGAGAGAAUGAAGAAAUUUUUUUUUUUUGAGCGGCAAAUUUGGAUCAUUGACGGAUCACUAGAGUAUCAUCGUGCCACUAGCGAAACCACCCGAUCAUAUCCAUCUCCACUAGGCAAUAAUGCCUACACACCAAUUCAGGAGUAAACCCAAUAAAUUUGGAAAAAACCCUCUUAUGGGAAUCGAACCCAUGACCUAAUGGUCAUAAGCCUUAUCCUAUCACCAAGAUGCCACUAGGCUAUAGGCUAUAAAUUGCUUAUGAGAAAAUGAAGAAAAUAAUAAAUAAAUCUGAAAGAAGUAAUUGAAUUAUUAAUGUAUUUAAUUAUUAUAUUGCAAUGAAGUUAAUAAUUCACGUCUUUAAUUGUUGCUCAAUGUAGAGGAAGGAAAAAAAAUGCAUUAGAAUUUUGAGUGCAAUCAAGUUUUGUGACAUUAUUUAAUGGACUGCUUAUGGGCCUUAACUAAUUAAAUGGAAGAUAUGAAGUGAUAAGAAUCAAGUGCGUUGCACGUUGAAAAAAAAAGUGGGUCAAACAGCUACAAAGGUGAGAAUUUUUUACGGAAAGAUAUAUUCGACAAUAGGGGGUGUCGCAACUUUUAAGAAAAGAAAGGAGGCAGACGGCUGAAGGCAAGGCAGGAGGGACGUACGGAAGGCCACCUUCCACGGUUCAAGGCAUGAGCAACUAGGUGAAAUUUUCCAAGUGAAAGGUUCAUAGGGUUUGACACUUUUCUUAGUUUUAUUUAUUAUUGGAUUUGUUUUUAACAUUGAUAAUGUUUUAUAAACAAUUUGAUUUGUUGCUUGCUCUGUUGAUGACAAGACCUUGUAGCUUGUUGGGUGGCAUAGAGUAG
This 1650-nucleotide long non-coding RNA is filed under the name Helianthus annuus (common sunflower). RNAcentral's name for it is "hypothetical non coding rna". Lineage: Eukaryota; Viridiplantae; Streptophyta; Magnoliopsida; Asterales; Asteraceae. The record is from RNAcentral.